RNAcentral lists this ribosomal RNA (253 nucleotides) under uncultured bacterium. RNAcentral's name for it is "partial 16S ribosomal RNA". It matches the Rfam family "Bacterial small subunit ribosomal RNA", at positions 524 to 776 of the family's 1533-position model. The record is from RNAcentral.
UACGUAGGAGGCGAGCGUUGUCCGGAUUUAUUGGGCGUAAAGAGCGCGUAGGCGGCUUGGCAAGUCGGGUGUGAAAUCCCCUGGCUUAACUGGGGGGGGUCAUCCGAUACUGCUGGGCUUGAGGCAGGCAGAGGAAGGUAGAAUUCCCGGUGUAGUGGUGAAAUGCGUAGAUAUCGGGAGGAAUACCAGUGGCGAAGGCGGCCUUCUGGGCCUGUACUGACGCUGAGGUGCGAAAGCGUGGGGAGCGAACCGG